UGGGGAAUAUUGGACAAUGGGGGCAACCCUGAUCCAGCAAUGCCGCGUGUGUGAAGAAGGUCUUCGGAUUGUAAAGCACUUUCGACGGGGACGAUGAUGACGGUACCCGUAGAAGAAGCCCCGGCUAACUUCGUGCCAGCAGCCGCGGUAAUACGAAGGGGGCUAGCGUUGCUCGGAAUGACUGGGCGUAAAGGGCGUGUAGGCGGUUUACACAGUCAGAUGUGAAAUCCCCGGGCUUAACCUGGG
Molecule: ribosomal RNA, 246 nt
Filed under: uncultured bacterium
Lineage: Bacteria
Description: partial 16S ribosomal RNA
Rfam family: Bacterial small subunit ribosomal RNA
Source: RNAcentral